Molecule: ribosomal RNA, 140 nt
Filed under: uncultured bacterium
Lineage: Bacteria
Description: partial 16S rRNA
Rfam family: Bacterial small subunit ribosomal RNA
Source: RNAcentral
UGGGGAAUAUUGCACAAUGGGCGAAAGCCUGAUGCAGCGACGCCGCGUGAGGGAUGACGGCCUUCGGGUUGUAAACCUCUUUCAGCAGGGACGAAGCGCAAGUGACUGUACCUGCAGAAGAAGCACCGGCUAACUACGUG